Molecule: ribosomal RNA, 468 nt
Filed under: uncultured bacterium
Lineage: Bacteria
Description: partial 16S ribosomal RNA
Rfam family: Bacterial small subunit ribosomal RNA
Source: RNAcentral
GACGAACGCUGGCGGCGUGCUUAACACAUGCAAGUCGAACGGAAAGGCCCUGCUCUUGCGGGGUGCUCGAUUGGCGAACGGGUGAGUAACACGUGAGUAACCUGCCCUUGACUUUGGGAUAACUUCAGGAAACUGGGGCUAAUAUCGGAUAGGAGCUCCUGCUGCAUGGUGGUGGUUGGAAAGAUUCGGCGGUUGGGGAUGGACUCGCGGCUUAUCAGCUUGUUUGUGGGGUAGUGGCUUACCAAGGCUUUGACGGGUAGCCGGCCUGAGAGGGUGACCGGCCACAUUGGGACUGAGAUACGGCCCAGACUCCUACGGGAGGCAGCAGUGGGGAAUAUUGCACAAUGGGCGGAAGCCUGAUGCAGCAACGCCGCGUGCGGGAUGACGGCCUUCGGGUUGUAAACCGCUUUCGCCUGUGACGAAGCGUGAGUGACGGUAAUGGGUAAAGAAGCACCGGCUAACUACGUG